AAUGAACGCUGGAGGCGUGCUUAACACAUGCAAGUCGAGCGCGAAAGUUUCUUCGGAAAUUAGUAGAGCGGCGAACGGGUGAGUAACACGUAAGAAUAUACCUUUUAGUGAAGGAUACCUUCGAGAAAUCGGAGUUAAUACUGCAUACGUCCCUUCGGGGAGAAAGAUGGCUUUUAUGCUGUCGCUGAAAGAUUAGCUUGCGGACUAUUAGUUUGUUGGUGGGGUAGAGGCCUACCAAGACGAUGAUGGUUAACCGGCCUGAGAGGGUGAACGGUCACAUUGGAACUGAGACACGGUCCAGACUCCUACGGGAGGCAGCAGUGAGGAAUAUUGCGCAAUGGGCGAAAGCCUGACGCAGCGACGCCUCGUGGGGGAUGAAGGCCUUAGGGUCGUAAACUCCUGUUAAGUGGGAAGAAAGGCUCGCCAGUAAUAUGGGCGAGAGAUGACGUUACCACUAAAGAAAGCACCGGCUAACUUCGUGCCAGCAGCCGCGGUAAUACGAGGGGUGCAAGCGUUAUUCGGAAUAACUGGGCGUAAAGGGUGCGUAGACGGUUUUUUAAGUCUAUUGUUUAAGCCCCCAGCCUAACUGGGGAUCAGCAGUAGAAACUGGAAGACUAGAGGAUGGAAGAGAGAAGUGGAAUUCUCGGAGUAGCGGUAAAAUGCGUAGAUCUCGAGAGGAACACCGAUGGCGAANNCAGCUUCUUGGUCCAUUCCUGACGUUGAGGCACGGAAGCGUGGGUAGCAAACAGGAUUAGAUACCCUGGUANNNCACGCNNUAAACGAUGAUCACUAGAUGUUAGUUCUGCUUGCAGAAUUAGUAUCGAAGCUAACGCGAUAAGUGAUCCGCCUGGGGAGUACGAUCGCAAGAUUAAAACUCAAAGAAAUUGACGGGGGUCCGCACAAGCGGUGGAACAUGUGGUUUAAUUCGACACUACGCGAGAAACCUUACCUAGACUUGACAUGUUAUUGACCGCUAUGGAAACAUAGUUUUUCAAGUUUACUUGGACAAUAUCACAGGUGCUGCAUGGCUGUCGUCAGCUCGUGUCGUGAGAUGUUUGGUUAAGUCCUCUAACGAGCGCAACUCCUGUCGUCAGUUGCUACUACUUCGGUAGGCACUCUGGCGAGACUGCCUGGGAAACCAGGAGGAAGGUGGGAACGACGUCAAGUCAUCAUGGUCCUUAUGUCUAGGGCUACACACGUGUUACAAUGGUCGGUACAAAUGGCUGCAAACCCGUAAGGGGGAGCUAAUCCUAUAAAGCCGAUCUAAGUUCGGAUUGAGGUCUGAAAUUCGACCUCAUGAAGUUGAAAUCGCUAGUAAUCGCGUAUCAGAACGACGCGGUGAAUACGUUCUCGGACCUUGUACACACCGCCCGUCACACCACGAAAGCUGUCUGUACCCGAAAUCAUCUUAGCUAACCUGUUAAAGGAGGCGGAUGCUGAAGGUAUGGGGAGUGAUUGGGGUG
Molecule: ribosomal RNA, 1463 nt
Filed under: uncultured bacterium
Lineage: Bacteria
Description: bacterial SSU rRNA
Rfam family: Bacterial small subunit ribosomal RNA
Source: RNAcentral